Molecule: long non-coding RNA, 739 nt
Organism: Cyprinus carpio (common carp)
Lineage: Eukaryota; Metazoa; Chordata; Actinopteri; Cypriniformes; Cyprinidae
Source: Ensembl
AUGCCUUUGCAGGGACUUUGCUGGCUUGUGUGCUGCAGACAAGGCUUCAGUUUGCUGGCUCGGGAUCAUGGGGAGAAAGAGGAGGAAGAGUCUUUUGAGUUACGCAAUCAGGACGAGCACACACACACGGGACGGGGGCAACUAGAGGUCACUCUGUCUCAGCCCACUCGCACAGCCAACGGCACACCCUGUCUGUCAGGAGUUCCUGAGGAGAAGAGAAGUCUCAUCACACUGAAGAGCAAGAUGACGAUGGAUGAAGACCCUGAGGUGCUUGUGAAGGGUGAGGAAGAAAUUCUUCUGCUUGAUAACUCUGAUUCACCAGAUCAAGUCAUAUUUGUCAUUAUGGCUGUAAAACUAAACUGCUUCUUUGCAUGCAUUGGUGCAGUUGUGUGAAUUAUGCCCCCCUUUUUUAUUGUGCUGGUUACUUGGAAUCCUUAAUGUGAAGUAAAUUAGAUUGAUGCUUGUUUCAGUUUUACAGCAUGUAGAUUACAAUUUCAAAGGUUGAAUUGUGUUUUAAACUUUAUGACACUCUGGUAGCUUUAUCUGUAGUGAGUUCAUCUUAAAUCUGAACCAGGGUGCAGCAGGCUGAACAAUGUCUACACACACACACAUAGCCAUCUAAAUGAAGACAUACUAUAUAUUUCUACUGUCUUUACAUAAAGAUAAUUAUAAUUAGUAUAAACUAACCCAAAUGGACUAACGUAAUAAAUUAAGCAAUAUUGUUUAGAUAUUAAUAUUC